RNA transcript from Pongo pygmaeus (Bornean orangutan), 4950 nucleotides. It is a transcript of the gene named progestin and adipoQ receptor family member 3, with no coding region annotated. The record is from RefSeq and is a predicted model, not a curated record. The transcript has 11 exons. NCBI's taxonomy places the organism in Eukaryota, Metazoa, Chordata, Mammalia, Primates, Hominidae.
GCGACGCUGCCGGGUCAGCCGCGGCGCUGGCUGCAGUGGCCGGUGUGAGCGCAGAGCAGGGCCCUGGGCAGCGGCGGCGCGGUAGGACCUCGCGCAGCGUCCGCGGGCUCCGGGGCGGGGGCGCCAGCGGCGAAGCCCCCUCCCCGGGGAGGCGGGACCUGGGGGAGCUCCCGAGCCGGGGAGCGGCGGCGGCCGGGAACGAUGCAUCAGAAGCUGCUGAAGAGCGCGCAUUACAUCGAGCUGGGCAGCUACCAGUACUGGCCGGUCCUGGUGCCCCGUGGCAUCCGCCUGUACACCUACGAGCAGAUCCCCGUGUCCCUCAAGGACAACCCGUACAUCACCGACGGCUACCGGGCCUACCUGCCGUCCAGGCUGUGUAUCAAAAGUUUGUUUAUUUUAUCUAAUGAGACAGUAAACAUCUGGAGUCAUUUGCUGGGUUUCUUUCUCUUCUUCACCCUGGGAAUAUAUGACAUGACAUCUGUGUUACCUUCAGCAAGUGCGUCCAGAGAAGAUUUUGUAAUUUGUUCUAUUUGUCUUUUCUGCUUCCAGGUCUGUAUGCUUUGCUCUGUGGGCUAUCAUCUUUUUUCCUGCCAUCGGUCAGAAAAAACAUGUCGAAGAUGGAUGGCAUUAGAUUAUGCAGGAAUUUCUAUUGGAAUACUGGGCUGCUAUGUCUCAGGAGUAUUUUACGCAUUUUAUUGUAAUAACUACUGGCGUCAGGUGUACUUGAUCACAGUGCUUGCUAUGAUCCUGGCAGUGUUCUUUGCGCAGAUUCAUCCCAAUUACCUCACGCAGCAAUGGCAAAGGCUCCGUUCUAUCAUCUUUUGUUCUGUUUCGGGAUAUGGAGUGAUUCCUACUCUUCACUGGGUUUGGCUCAAUGGAGGAAUUGAUGCUCCGAUUGUACAGGACUUUGCACCCCGUGUAAUUGUGAUGUAUAUGAUUGCUCUUCUGGCUUUCCUAUUCUACAUUUCCAAAGUCCCAGAGCGGUACUUUCCAGGACAACUAAACUACCUCGGAUCAAGCCACCAAAUAUGGCAUAUCCUUGCAGUAGUGAUGUUAUAUUGGUGGCAUCAGUCAACAGUGUAUGUCAUGCAGUACAGACAUAGCAAGCCUUGUCCUGACUAUGUUUCACAUUUGUGAAUUAGGUAUGGCCACCUGGUGAAUUCAGUUGUUAAGCAAUAUAUAAUGGGGAAUUGUAUACCCCACUAUUUCUAAGAUUCCCAUUAGUUUUCCCUUUUUCCUUUUUAAUAUGAGUAAUGCUUUAUAAAAAUGGGGAAAAAAAAGUAUACUUAAGGAUCUGUAGUAAUAACUGCUUUACAAAAUCCUUAAAUCUACUAAUUUGCUGCUUGUACAGAAAGUGAAAAUUAGUUGGCAAUCAUAAGAAACAUCUGAAUAACAACGAUGAAUGGGAAACUAGUGUUGAAAUAGGAUUCAUUUUACUUGGCACCAGGUUAAUUUCCUUAGGAAGGGCUCAUCUCCAUUAGAAAAUGGAGUCAUCUUAUGUGCUUAAUUAUUUUCAGUUAAUUAUCAAGUUUAAGUGCCUAAUCAAGGCAAGUGUUGUUUCAGCCUAUGCUUAAUGCAAGCUAGGAUAGUGAUUUUAAAUAAUCACUAAAAUCACUAGAUUUAAAUAAUCACUAAAAUGAUUUGUGAGAAACUGGCACUUCAGAUAUUAUAUCCUUUAGCUAUAGGUUCUUCUCUCCCUAAGAACAUUAGAUAUUUUAGUUUUCCAGAACAAAAGCUUUAAACUUCUGUAAGUUGAGAGAAGGGUUGAGAAGAGGAAAAGAACUUCUCAUUUUCUAUCAGAUAAGAAUCACAUUAGAAACUAAGUACAAAAUUAGACAACAAAUUAUGUGGUCAAAUAAUAUAGUCAUUACCCACCUAAACAUUUUAAUUCCAGAUAUUAUUUAAUUCCAUAUAACUGAAUUCUUGUGAGUGGAUUACAGGUUUUUGAUCCCAAAAUUCCAGAGCUUUCAACUCUUUAAAUUUGUAGUCCUGAAUAUCCCAGUGGUGGGGGUUCCCAGCAUUAUGGGUGCUACUUUCAAGGCCAUAGAAUCUAGAUGGCCCUGUCUUGACCCUGAAAUGAACCUUAAGCCUUAGAACAAAGUCGUGCAGGUGCCCCAUUUGAUAAUAAUCUUAUUCACCUGUGCUCUGGUCCUCGGUUUCUGCAUGUGUUAGCAUUGCAUUGAUAACUCAGAAUCUUGAUAAACACUUAAUAUUUGGACCUGAAGCAUUAAAAUUUCUUUUUAUUGUAUAUACUUAAAAAAUAGAACUCACUGCCCUAUCAUACAUUGUAGCCCUCUUAUUCUUUGGUCUUUCAUAUGCAUUAGUUAAAUCCCUUAAAGCAGACAUUCAUAAAAACUUACAUUGUUUAUUGGAGUAUAAAAUAUUACCCAAGUUUCUUAAUGAGUUGACAUGAGCUGUUUUAAAUACUAGUGUAUUUUCAGAACAGUAAAAUUACUGAAUAUCAGAAAAAAUGUUAAUGAAGCUUAUUCCCAAAAUGCCUUUUGUGCAUAUGAUAUUUGGAAAGUCACUUUAAUGUGCCUCAGUUAAUACAUCAGUAAAAUGUUGUGUUUCUUUUCCAGUGUAGUGUUUUUGGAAUAUAAAUUCCCCAUGCUAGUAUAGUAUCUUAGGAAAGAGAAUUUCCCCCCAGGAGGCUCAGUAAAGGAAUACCGUGUCUUACCCAUCAUUAUGAUGGAAGGCUGCUUUGAAAAUGGCUGUUUUACCUUAUAAGGUUAAAAUUUUGAUCCAUAUGUUAAGUGAUAGAAGAUUUUGGUGCAACAGUAGUAGGAUAUAUUUCUCCUAGAACAUCCCUUAUUGGCUUACAUUAUUUUAUUGCCUUUAAAUAGAUAUUUUCUCAUUUUGGCCAAACAAAAGACACUGAGUAGUUAUACUUAAGUUAAAAAUGAGGGGAAAAGUCAUUAUUUUAGGUGUGGAGCCAUUUUUAUUGUAAAACAUUCUCAAAAUAAAAAAAAUUGAAUCAUUUCAAUUUUUGCAAUCCCUGUAUUAGUAUAUGAAUACAUACUUGCCAUUUGAAUUAAUACAUGAAAAGAGUAUACUGUGUUUUUAAAUCAGUGUUUCUUUGAAUUUAAAGGGUGUACAGGUCUUUCUGCAGGGAAAAUUAUUCCAUGUAAACAUUUCAACUUUGUAUGAAAAUGUUAAAUAUUGUAAGAAAGUUAUCCUCUCAUUUUUUCACUGCUAUGAUGUAUUUAUUAUAAAAUAGGGAAUGAAUGAAUAUGGAUUGCUGUCAACUAGAAACACUUCUGUAUGUCAGUCAGCAUUUAAUGACCACCUACUGUGUGCACAGCACUACUGAAUCAGGAACGAAGAUUCAGGGAAUGUCUGUCACAUCUUAUGGCAUCCCACCUGGACAGAAUAUCCGAUUUGAAGAUUGUGAUUGACUUCCAUAAAACUCUACAACUCUCCAUUUGGCAGGUGAAUAUAAAUGAGGGAGAAGUGUGGGGAGAAGCAAGUCUAUGGCUAAUUCAAGAGGAGCUGAGAUCCACUUCAGAAUUGACCAGAAUACCUCCUGCUGAGGAAAAGUUAGGUUCCAGGCUACAAGUUACCACAAUGCAAGAUAACCAAACAAGUCUGAAUGUUGAAAAGCUGUUCAAUAUACUCAGCAGAAAUCCUAAACACUCAAUUCUUCUUUUGGCUUUACAUUUUGAUGAUGUUACAUGUGUAACUUGCCUGAAUGAGAAAUGAAAGGAACAGAACCAAAAGGAUCUUCUGGAGGAUGGUUAUGUGGAGCAGAAAGUGACUCUACAUUCUUAUCUGAGGAUGCUCUCUCCUCGAGCCUAUCUGCAAAAAUAAGAUGAAACGAAAUAAAAAAUGAAAUGAAAUAAAAAUGAUCUUUAAAUUAAAAAGUGAUAUACAAUAUAAAUAAAAGUGAAAAUUAAAGCACCAGCCUUUUUGAAAAACAUUAGGUUCAGAAUCUAUCAUUGUAAGUAUUAGGGAGUAGUCCUGAAUUUAAUACAUAUUUGUUGCCGCAAAAGCAAGUUUAACAAUAUAAUCCGUGAUAGGUUUCACUAAAUACAAUUAACCUAAUAAUAAACUUAGUCUGAUUCAUUUAAAUACUACUUGUCCUCAACUUUUGGGCCUGAACUCAAACCCAGCUAAACAAACAGAGACAUAUUUGACAGACAGUCUCCAAAAAUAAAUUUAGAAAAAAAUCUUGCAAAUGGUCAUUCAUCCAUAAAGUAGGUAAAUCUUACUUCUCAAUAGCAAUAAAAAGUAAUUCACUAUAUUUUACUUUUUUGUUCAUUUUUUUAUACUACUUUGUAUUAUCAAACCAUUCUCUCUCUCACACACACACACACACAAACACACAUCCCCCCACAUACACUCACAAAAACUUACAAAAAACAGAGUUUAUUGAUUCAUCCAACAAGUAAAUUUGAGUAUCUACUAUGUGCCAAUAUGCCAGGCACUAUUCUAGGCAACUGGCAUGUAAUGUCAAACAAAACAAAGGCCCCUGCCCUUAUGCAGUUUAUAUGCUAGUGUGGAAAAAACAAAUAAUAGGCAAUAAGCAUAAUAAGAAAUGUAUAUGGUGCAUUAAAAGCUAUAGAGAAAAAUGUAGUGCAGGGAAACAGGAAUUGAGGGAGUGGGUAGAGGUUUUAGUAAUAGAGUGAUUCUAUUAGUCACUAGGUAAGAAAAGACUUGAAGGAGGCAAGGGAGUGAAUAUCUAGGAAAGAACAAUCAGGCAGAGAAAGAGCUGGAGCGAAGACUCUAAGGCAAGAGGCCCGGUGUGUUUUGAGUUGAUAUAUCCUGACUCCCUAGUAAUGAUUAUCUUUUCCUUGCUCUUAAACUCUCCAUAUAGGUCAGGGAUGGGGGCUCACACCUAUAAUCUCAGCACUCUGGAAGACCAAGGCAAGACGAUUUCUUGAAACCAGCCUGAGCAACACAGUGAGAUGACUUUUUUCACCAAGCAUGUAAUAAAAUUUGAAUCUCUCCCGA